CGUUGGCAGUAGACCAAAGGAAUACAAUAGAAGAAAUGAAAAGACAACUACACACAAAGACCAACAAACAACGAAUGUGCAAAGGGUGACAAGCUGCAAAUACAAAAAAUACAGAUCAGACUGAGUUCCUCCAGCAUUUUGGGUGUGUUGCUCAGAUCAAAUUGAAACCUGGAAUGGAAGUUUGAUGUAGAUACUGUCGUAAUAACAACACACUACAAAUUCAGCAUGUUGAAAAGAUUGAACUUUAAAUCAGAUGCUACCUGACAAGACAUAUUUGGCAUUUUCAGUUUUAGUAUCACUACUUUCACUAGCAUAUUGGCAAAAAUGAUAAGGCACUGUUUUCAGACCAGGAAAGAAAACUACAGGAAAAUAAAACUGGACACGCCCCUCUGCUGACUGCUCCUUCCACAGACCCCUGUAUCAAGGCGAUUGUGUCACUGCUCCUCCCACAGUCCAAGGCGGUCAUCCAGCAUGGAAGUGGUCCAUUUU
This is a long non-coding RNA of Hypanus sabinus (Atlantic stingray), 489 nucleotides long. RefSeq lists it as uncharacterized. The record is from RefSeq and is a predicted model, not a curated record. The transcript has 3 exons. Lineage: Eukaryota; Metazoa; Chordata; Chondrichthyes; Myliobatiformes; Dasyatidae.